GUACCCUUUAUCAAUCAGGUUUGGGGAUUGAGAGCUGAGAUUGGGUAACUGUGUUGCAGCUGUACUUUCGCUAAAUGCUCAGAGACUUUGUACAGGGCCAGGCCUGCGUCUACACUAAAACCUCCUUCGGUGUAGGUGAUUUGGGUGGUGUGACACUGCUGUUUGGCAUGUACUGGAGGUUGGCACUGAAAUAGUGACUUAAAGGUUACUACUUAUUUGCGGUGUAUGCUGUGGGGUUUCUUCUGUUUUCUUCUGUCUCUUACAGGUGGUAGGAGGUCCACAAGGGCAGGCCCGACCCUCUUGCAGUCUUGAGGAGAGCUAAUUCCAAUUUCUGUGAAUGUUGUUAUCGACACGUUUUUAACAUUUGAUGGUUUUAUUGGAACAAAAAAAUUGUUAUCUUUUUACAAA
Rhinichthys klamathensis goyatoka is the source of this 408-nucleotide long non-coding RNA. RefSeq lists it as uncharacterized. The record is from RefSeq and is a predicted model, not a curated record. Lineage: Eukaryota; Metazoa; Chordata; Actinopteri; Cypriniformes; Leuciscidae. The transcript has 2 exons.